AUGAACGCUGGCGGCGUGCCUAAUACAUGCAAGUCGAGCGAACAGACGAGGAGCUUGCUCCUCUGACGUUAGCGGUGGACGGGUGAGUAACACGUGGAUAACCUACCUAUAAGACUGGGAUAACUUCGGGAAACCGGAGCUAAUACCGGAUAACAUGUUGAACCGCAUGGUUCAACAGUGAAAGACGGUCUUGCUGUCACUUAUAGAUGGAUCCGCGCCGCAUUAGCUAGUUGGUAAGGUAACGGCUUACCAAGGCAACGAUGCGUAGCCGACCUGAGAGGGUGAUCGGCCACACUGGAACUGAGACACGGUCCAGACUCCUACGGGAGGCAGCAGUAGGGAAUCUUCCGCAAUGGGCGAAAGCCUGACGGAGCAACGCCGCGUGAGUGAAGAAGGUCUUCGGAUCGUAAAACUCUGUUAUUAGGGAAGAACAAAUGUGUAAGUAACUAUGCACGUCUUGACGGUACCUAAUCAGAAAGCCACGGCUAACUACGUG
This 496-nucleotide ribosomal RNA is filed under the name uncultured bacterium. RNAcentral's name for it is "partial 16S ribosomal RNA". It matches the Rfam family "Bacterial small subunit ribosomal RNA", at positions 29 to 507 of the family's 1533-position model. The record is from RNAcentral.